CCUACGGGGGGCUGCAGUGGGGAAUAUUGCACAAUGGGGGAAACCCUGAUGCAGCGACGCCGCGUGAGUGAAGAAGUAAUUCGUUAUGUAAAGCUCUAUCAGCAGGGAAGAAAAUGACGGUACCUGAGUAAGAAGCCCCGGCUAACUACGUGCCAGCAGCCGCGGUAAUACGGAGGGGACAAGCGCUAGCCGGAUUUACUGGGUGUAAAGGGAGCGUAGACGGCAGUGCAAGGCUGGAGUGAAAGGCGGGGGCUCAACCCCCGGACGGCUCUGGAAACUGGACGGCUGGAGUGCAGGAGAGGUGAGUGGAAUUCCUAGUGUAGCGGUGAAAUGCGUAGAUAUAAGGAGGAACACCAGUGGCGAAGGCGGCUUACUGGUCUGUAACUGACGUUGAGGCUCGAAAGCGUGGGGAGCAAACAGGAUUAGAUACCCUUGUAGUC
Molecule: ribosomal RNA, 440 nt
Filed under: uncultured bacterium
Lineage: Bacteria
Description: partial 16S ribosomal RNA
Rfam family: Bacterial small subunit ribosomal RNA
Source: RNAcentral